CAUUAUGCUCAGUCGUAAACUUUGAUAGACCAUUACACCCACUAUCCGCCCGGGUACUACGAGCACUAGCUUGAAACCCAAAGGACUUGGCGGUGCUUAACAUCCACCUAGAGGAGCCUGUCCAACAACCGAUAAUCCCCGUUAAACCUCACCCUCCCUUGUCUUUCCCGCCUAUAUACCGCCGUCGUCAGCUUACCCUUUGAGGGACCCAUAGUAAGCACAAUUGGCACAGCCCAGUACGUCAGGUCGAGGUGUAGCUAAUGAGAGGGGAUGAGAUGGGCUACAUUUCCUAAACAAGGAAAUACGAAAAAUCGUUCUGAAACGAACAUUAGAAGGGGGAUUUAGUAGUAAGUAGAAAGCAGAGAGUUCUACUGAAGCCGGCCAACUUAAGCGCGCACACACCGCCCGUCACUCUCCCCGAGCAAACAAAUUACUAUACCUAAUUAUCCCACACCUGCAAUUAUAGGGGAGGCAAGUCGUAA
This 482-nucleotide ribosomal RNA is filed under the name Dascyllus aruanus (white-tailed damselfish). RNAcentral's name for it is "partial small subunit ribosomal RNA". It matches the Rfam family "Bacterial small subunit ribosomal RNA", at positions 788 to 1491 of the family's 1533-position model. Lineage: Eukaryota; Metazoa; Chordata; Actinopteri; Pomacentridae. The record is from RNAcentral.